RNAcentral lists this transfer RNA (94 nucleotides) under Parcubacteria group bacterium. Its description in RNAcentral is "tRNA-Arg". It matches the Rfam family "tRNA". From Rfam's summary of the family: Transfer RNA (tRNA) molecules are approximately 80 nucleotides in length. Their secondary structure includes four short double-helical elements and three loops (D, anti-codon, and T loops). Further hydrogen bonds mediate the characteristic L-shaped molecular structure. tRNAs have two regions of fundamental functional importance: the anti-codon, which is responsible for specific mRNA codon recognition, and the 3' end, to which the tRNAs corresponding amino acid is attached (by aminoacyl-tRNA synthetases). tRNAs cope with the degeneracy of the genetic code in two manners: having more than one tRNA (with a specific anti-codon) for a particular amino acid; and 'wobble' base-pairing, i.e. permitting non-standard base-pairing at the 3rd anti-codon position. RNAcentral also lists the same sequence under 1 other name. The record is from RNAcentral.
GCGCCAGUAGCUCAGCUUGGACAGAGCGACAGGUUCCUAACCUGUAGGUCCGGAGUUCGAAAACCUUAAUGGUUCGAAAGUCUUCGCUGGCGCG